UACAGAGGUGGCAAGCGUUGUUCGGAAUUACUGGGCGUAAAGGGCGCGUAGGCGGUUCGGUAAGUCCUGUGUGAAAUCCCUCGGCUCAACUGAGGAACUGCACGGGAGACUGCCGGGCUUGAGUUCGGGAGAGGGAAGCGGAAUUCCGGGUGUAGCGGUGAAAUGCGUAGAUAUCGGGAAGAACACCCGUGGCGAAGGCGGCUCUCUGGAACGCAACUGACGCUGAGACGCGAAAGCGUGGGGAGCAAACAGG
Molecule: ribosomal RNA, 253 nt
Filed under: uncultured bacterium
Lineage: Bacteria
Description: partial 16S ribosomal RNA
Rfam family: Bacterial small subunit ribosomal RNA
Source: RNAcentral